UACGAAGGGUGCUAGCGUUGUUCGGAAUCACUGGGCGUAAAGCGCGCGUAGGCGGCCAUUCAAGUCAGGGGUGAAAUCCCACAGCUUAACUGUGGAACUGCCUUUGAAACUGUAUGGCUGGAGUGUCGGAGGGGAUGGCGGAAUUGCUAAUGUAGAGGUGAAAUUCGUAGAUAUUAGCAGGAACACCGGUGGCGAAGGCGGCCAUCUGGACGACAACUGACGCUGAGGCGCGAAAGUGCGGGGAUCAAACAGG
Molecule: ribosomal RNA, 253 nt
Filed under: uncultured bacterium
Lineage: Bacteria
Description: partial 16S ribosomal RNA
Rfam family: Bacterial small subunit ribosomal RNA
Source: RNAcentral